Molecule: small RNA, 1971 nt
Filed under: Pongo abelii (Sumatran orangutan)
Lineage: Eukaryota; Metazoa; Chordata; Mammalia; Primates; Hominidae
Description: retained intron
Source: RNAcentral
GAUAACCCUUCCCUCCAGGAUCUUCAUGAGGAUCUCAGUGAUGUCAUUUAUAAAGCCCCUGGGGUCUCGAGAGACCUCAAAAAUGCUGGAGAGACAGGCCACAGCUCUGAAGAGUAGCCCCAACCCCAUGGAGCUGAAGCAGGGUCUGGAGGCCCCCUCUGGGGCCAGCCCAAUCGUGGGAAGGCCCCCAGGGGUUCCCAGGGAGGGAGACUCAGCGCAGAUGAUGUUGAACAGCCUUUACCGCAGCCCUUUGAACAACCACAACUGUCCCGGGCACUCCGCUGAUUGGCAGCUGUGCCUCUAACAUGCCCCCGGCCAGCCUAGGGGGCCGGGAACCAAGCCCUCUGUUGGCAUCUCUGUUUUGUGGGUCCCCAUUCUAGAAUUAUUUCCGCGAUGCCUGGAACAUCUUCGACUUUGUGACUGUUCUGGGCAGCAUCACCGAUAUCCUCGUGACUGAGUUUGGGGUAAGUCUCCCGCCAGCUUCUCUCUGGGUGACUCUGGGCUGGACGAGGCAGGCGGCAGGGGGCGGGGGAGCGGUCCCAGAGGCAGUGUGUCCCGACAGCCAUAGCUGCUUGAGCCAGCACUUGGCCAUGACCAGAGAGGGAAAACUGGGGCCCUGGGGACCAGGGCAGCCCCUCAGGAGGGCAUCGUGGGGAGAUGGGGGUGACCAAAGCUUGGCUGUAGGGCCAGCACUGAGGGGUGGGCUUUCCUGCAUCCUGGCCUAGGAAUUAAUAAUGCAAAUGAGUACAUUGAAGGAACUGAGACACUCAAAAGCUCCUAAAGCUGAGCUGGCUCCCAAACACCACCCUAUGUCAGGAGCCCAGAAAGAAUGAGUUUCAAGUCAAUUCUGUUUGAACCAACCCUCUCCUGGUUCGUGGGCAGGAGAGAGCCACAGCCCUCAGGCCAAUGUGGGGACACCACUCCCAGGGCCAUAGAGGGGUCCCCAGGGUGCUUCCCUCCUCUAGCCCCAGGCCUGGGAGACUCUCAACAUGGGAGUCUCUGGACCUCUCUGUGGUGGCCCCGCAGGCCACAUUGUCCUUCUCCUUUUCUGGAAGACUCAGGGCCCCAGAGUUCCUGUCCCAGUCCCUCUCCUUGGUCAUCUGCCAAUGAGCCCAGGCUUGGGGUCCCUUAGGAGAUUUGGGGGAGGGUAUAAGAUCCUUGCAGGGGGAAGCAAUGGUCAAAGGGCGUCAAAGCCAAGGGUCAAGGGUGAUAUCAAUGUUGUCUUAAUAACAAUAAAAAUAACAAUAGCUCACAAGAAUCGCAGCCUUGCUGUGUGCCAGGGAACUGUGCCAAGUGGUUUACGUGGAUUGGCUCAGGGUAGAGGUCUCGGUCUCAGCUUGUAAGAGAAUACCCUCGGAGGGUUCAACUGAAGGCACCCAAAUGCAGAGAUCACUGGUGGAGGGGAAGGGAAGGGUACCCACAAGGGUGGCAAGGUGCCCAGCGACCAGCCACCAUGGGGAGCCGUUACCUGCCCAGGUGCUGAAGUGGGGAGGGAACCUGAGCAGGAGGCCAGGAGAAGCCACCAAGUGGGAACUGUCCUGUCAAUGUGGAGAGACAGAGACCAGGGCCAAAGCAGGCAGAGAGCAACAGGGGAGAAACACUCCAACCUUUCUCCCCACUCAUCCCUUAUCUCCUGCCAGAGCCUCCCAUUGCCCAAAGUAAACUGGAAGCAAGCUGAAUAUGAUGCUCAGAGCAGGCAGAGAAGUCAGGAGAAUAGAUCCGGGUGUGGUCCGGCCUGAGGAAGAGGGUGUUGCCUCAUUUCACAGAUGGGAAAACUGACCUCAGCCAGGCACGGUGGCUCACGCCUGUAAUCCCAGCACUUUGGGAGGCCGAAGCCGGCGGAUCACCUGAGGCCAGGAGUUCAAGACCAGCCUGGCCAACAUGGUGAAACCCCGUCUCUACUGACAAUACAAAAAAAUUAGCCAGGUGUGGUGGUGCAUGCCUGUAAUCCCAGCUACUCGGGAGGCUGAG